Molecule: transfer RNA, 79 nt
Filed under: Peptostreptococcus stomatis DSM 17678
Lineage: Bacteria; Bacillati; Bacillota; Clostridia; Peptostreptococcales; Peptostreptococcaceae
Description: tRNA-Arg
Rfam family: tRNA
About the family: Transfer RNA (tRNA) molecules are approximately 80 nucleotides in length. Their secondary structure includes four short double-helical elements and three loops (D, anti-codon, and T loops). Further hydrogen bonds mediate the characteristic L-shaped molecular structure. tRNAs have two regions of fundamental functional importance: the anti-codon, which is responsible for specific mRNA codon recognition, and the 3' end, to which the tRNAs corresponding amino acid is attached (by aminoacyl-tRNA synthetases). tRNAs cope with the degeneracy of the genetic code in two manners: having more than one tRNA (with a specific anti-codon) for a particular amino acid; and 'wobble' base-pairing, i.e. permitting non-standard base-pairing at the 3rd anti-codon position.
Source: RNAcentral
UGUCCCCGUAGCUCAGCUGGAUAGAGCACUCGCCUCCUAAGCGAGGGGUCGGAGGUUCGAAUCCUCUCGAGGACGCUUA